Molecule: ribosomal RNA, 465 nt
Filed under: Acanthoscelides obvelatus
Lineage: Eukaryota; Metazoa; Arthropoda; Insecta; Coleoptera; Chrysomelidae
Description: partial 16S ribosomal RNA
Source: RNAcentral
CAGACCUAAUAUUUUCAGCUUCUACACCAAAAAUUAAAUUUAAUCCAACAUCGAGGUCGCAAUCUUUAUCUUCGAUAAGAACUCUCUGAUAAUAUCACGCUGUUAUCCCUAAGGUAAUUUAAUCUUAUAAUUAUCAACUAUAGAUCAACAUAUACAUAAAUUAAUGAUUUACAAUAAAAAAAGUUAAAUUAAUUUUUCAAUCACCCCAAUUAAAUAAUUAAAAAAAUUAUAAAUUUUUAUACUAAAAAAAAUUAAAAUUUUCAAAUAUAAAACUCUAUAGGGUCUUCUCGUCUUUUAACUAAAUUUUAGCUUUUUAACUAAAAAAUAAAUUUUUAAUUAUUUAAUCAGAGACAGAAUUUUUCUUAUCCAACCAUUCAUUCCAGCUUCUAAUUAAGAAACUAAUGAUUAUGCUACCUUAGCACGGUCAAAAUACCGCGGCCAUUUAAAUAUUCAGAGGGCAGGUUA